CCUCGGGUGGCAGCAGUGGGGAAUAUUGCACAAUGGGGGAAACCCUGAUGCAGCGACGCCGCGUGAGUGAAGAAGUAUUUCGGGACGUAAAGCUCUAUCAGCAGGGAAGAAAAUGACGGUAACUGACUAAGAAGCCCCGGCUAACUACGGGCCAGCAGCCGCGGGAAUACGUAGGGGGCAAGCGUUACUCGGAUUUACGGGGUGAAAAGGGAGCGGGGACGGCAGAGCAAGUCUGGAGGGAAAUCCCAGGGCUUAACCAUGGAACCGCUUUGGAGACUGUGCAGCUGGAGUGCGGGAGAGGUAAGCGGAAGUCCAAGUGUAGCGGUGAAAUGCGUAGAUAUUGGGAGGAACACCAGUGGCGAAGGCGGCUUACUGGGCUGUAACUGACGUUGAGGCUCGAAAGCGUGGGGAGCAAACAGGAUUAGAUACCCUAGUAGUC
This 439-nucleotide ribosomal RNA is filed under the name uncultured bacterium. Its description in RNAcentral is "partial 16S ribosomal RNA". It matches the Rfam family "Bacterial small subunit ribosomal RNA", at positions 339 to 795 of the family's 1533-position model. The record is from RNAcentral.